AUGAACGCUGGCGGCGUGCCUAAUACCUGCAAGUCGAGCGAACAGAUGAGGAGCUUGCUCCUCUGACGUUAGCGGCGGACGGGUGAGUAACACGUGGAUAACCUACCUAUAAGACUGGGAUAACUUCGGGAAUCCGGAGCUAAUACCGGAUAAUAUAUUGAACCGCAUGGUUCAAUAGUGAAAGACGGUUUUGCUGUCACUUAUAGAUGGAUCCGCGCCGCAUUAGCUAGUUGGUAAGGUAACGGCUUACCAAGGCAACGAUGCGUAGCCGACCUGAGAGGGUGAUCGGCCACACUGGAACUGAGACACGGUCCAGACUCCUACGGGAGGCAGCAGUAGGGAAUCUUCCGCAAUGGGCGAAAGCCUGACGGAGCAACGCCGCGUGAGUGAUGAAGGUCUUCGGAUCGUAAAACUCUGUUAUUAGGGAAGAACAAAUGUGUAAGUAACUAUGCACGUCUUGACGGUACCUAAUCAGAAAGCCACGGCUAACUACGUG
This 496-nucleotide ribosomal RNA is filed under the name uncultured bacterium. RNAcentral describes it as "partial 16S ribosomal RNA". It matches the Rfam family "Bacterial small subunit ribosomal RNA", at positions 29 to 507 of the family's 1533-position model. The record is from RNAcentral.